GGGGUCAUGGCUCAGAGGUAGAGCACAUGCCUAGCAUGCGUGAGGCACUGGGUUCGAUUCUCAGCACCA
This 69-nucleotide transfer RNA is filed under the name Ictidomys tridecemlineatus (thirteen-lined ground squirrel). RNAcentral describes it as "Spermophilus tridecemlineatus (thirteen-lined ground squirrel) tRNA". It matches the Rfam family "tRNA". Rfam says of the family: Transfer RNA (tRNA) molecules are approximately 80 nucleotides in length. Their secondary structure includes four short double-helical elements and three loops (D, anti-codon, and T loops). Lineage: Eukaryota; Metazoa; Chordata; Mammalia; Rodentia; Sciuridae. The record is from Rfam by way of RNAcentral.